CUACAAUAAUUAUUAUUAAUUGAACUCCAAAUGUAACAAUAUUCGUACAAAAUCUAGAUCCAAAAUUCUAAAACACCUAAAAAUUCAAUACAUUUUCCAAAAAAAAAAAAAAAAACUAAGUAGUGAGUAAAACCACCUCAUCGGCCUCCCUAAUUUUCUUCUCAGCAAUAUUUGACACGAGUUUGCCUUUAGUAUAGAUCCUGUCCUAUGAAAAAAGAAGAUAAAGAUAGAUACCACAUUUUAGGCAUUUGCCCCAAUUAUAAUAGAGAAAAAAGCAAAGAAAAAUAAGUAUGUUGAUGAAAAAGUUUUAAUAUCUUGACAGCUCAAACUUCAACUCCACCACAAAAACAUUAUCUAGAUAAAAGGAGGUUGCUCAGAAGUAUAUCACACAUCCAUCUUGAGUCGACUAAACACCUAUAGCUACCCUAUCAUUUAUAACCCAAUAGAAAGGCGUGAGACAAACUAAAAUGCCAAGCAAGAUAAAGAUAACUGCUAACCUUGUGUGUAAAACCUUGCUAUUAACAUGGUAUAAUGAAACUUUGGCUGAUCACUGCUUCAACUUUGGGAUGUGUUCUGGAAGGGCAACUUGAAAUUUAUUUUUCUUUCUGUUCAUAGAUUUAAAGCCUAAUGCCCUGGUCUAAUGAUGAAAAUUCUUCUUCCAAGUUCCUCGACAAAAACUCCAUUCUUGUAUAACAACCUACACAAAAAUCAUUUGCAACUAUUAACUAAAAUAACAAAAUCCCUUGGAGCAUUUCAAUCAUUUUUACAAAACUUAUAUGCUUAACCUAAUCAUUCAUCGAUUUCUGGCUAAUUUCUUCAAUCCUAUAUUACUAGAUUAAUUUCCUGCUUCAGGUGCCAAACCGUAGCCUAAAAAAUUAAUCUACAUUUCCUUUUCUUUUUUCUUUUUUUCUAUAUUUUCAGUUGAUCUUAUGGCCAAAAAUUCAAUAUAAAAUGACCUAUACACAGUACACGUUAUAUUAUGCCUUGGAUAACAGUGAAAAUUGAUAAAACCAAAACUUUCUCUAGCUAAUCAUACAAAGAACUUCAAAUCCUCCAGGUAAGUUGACAUUAAUCCAAAUCUCAGCACAUUUUAACAAUGCAUAGACUUAGAUAAUUUUGAAAAUUUUAAUUCAAUGCAUAGACUUAGAUAAUUUUGAACAAUAGUGGAAAUCUAAACAGCAAGUGCAAAGGUCAUCAGAACCGCCAGUGCCGCCACAGAGUGCACAGCCGACUUACUCCCACAAGAUAACAUCUCCAAACUAAUAUGGAUCACAUUUACUGUUGACAGCAUAGAAAACAGGCACCCCAUCAUAGAACCAAUGACGGAGGCCAACAUCCCAAACCUUAACACCUUCAAAUUUAUAUGGGACCUAAAGAUCUCAUCCACAUCCUUGCUAUUCAACAAAUUAAUGGCCAAUUAAGGCCUUGGGCCGCUAGAGAAGAAAAUAGAAAGAAGCUGAAAGACACGACCUCGAAAAUGGAGUUUCUCAGCCACGUCGAUAUGUUUUUGAGGCUGUGCUGACCGGGAGUCAUCAAUGAGAGACCCACAAAGACUGCUACAGUAAAGAGGGAAUUAACAUUUACCAGGCCAUCUACGGCGGUGAGAUGGAUGCUGGUGGUGGUAGUUGAUUCUCUUGGGUAAGAUUUAGAUCUGCACAAAUCAAGAAAGAAAAAUCCCAUCAGAAUCUUGAAUUCAUUUAUGAAUAACGUACAGAUAGUGGUACUUAUAGAGACAUGAUUAGGUGUUCUUGGGGUAUGAAAUAUGUAUUUCCAGCUUGAAAUUUUGGUGAUUCUUGGAGGGUUUAGGGUUGUGUGUGUUUGUGACUUUGUGAGUGGGAGAGAGAGCAAGAGAGAUAAA
This 1858-nucleotide long non-coding RNA is filed under the name Olea europaea subsp. europaea. Lineage: Eukaryota; Viridiplantae; Streptophyta; Magnoliopsida; Lamiales; Oleaceae. The record is from RNAcentral.